GAUGAACGCUGGCGGCGUGCCUAAUACAUGCAAGUCGAGCGAACAGACGAGGAGCUUGCUCCUCUGACGUUAGCGGCGGACGGGUGAGUAACACGUGGAUAACCUACCUAUAAGACUGGGAUAACUUCGGGAAACCGGAGCUAAUACCGGAUAAUAUAUUGAACCGCAUGGUUCAAUAGUGAAAGACGGUUUUGCUGUCACUUAUAGAUGGAUCCGCGCCGCAUUAGCUAGUUGGUAAGGUAACGGCUUACCAAGGCAACGAUGCGUAGCCGACCUGAGAGGGUGAUCGGCAACACUGGAACUGAGCCACGGUCCAGACUCCUACGGGAGGCAGCAGUAGGGAAUCUUCCGCAAUGGGCGAAAGCCUGACGGAGCACCGCCGCGUGAGUGAUGAAGGUCUUCGGAUCGUAAAACUCUGUUAUUAGGGAAGAACAAAUGUGUAAGUAACUAUGCACGUCUUGACGGUACCUAAUCAGAAAGCCACGGCUAACUACGUG
RNAcentral lists this ribosomal RNA (497 nucleotides) under uncultured bacterium. Its description in RNAcentral is "partial 16S ribosomal RNA". It matches the Rfam family "Bacterial small subunit ribosomal RNA", at positions 28 to 507 of the family's 1533-position model. The record is from RNAcentral.